This 493-nucleotide ribosomal RNA is filed under the name uncultured bacterium. RNAcentral's name for it is "partial 16S ribosomal RNA". It matches the Rfam family "Bacterial small subunit ribosomal RNA", at positions 29 to 508 of the family's 1533-position model. The record is from RNAcentral.
AGUGGACGCUGGCGGUAGGCCUAACACAUGCAAGUCGAACGGCAGCACAGUAAGAGCUUGCUCUUACGGGUGGCGAGUGGCGGACGGGUGAGGAAUACAUCGGAAUCUACUUUUUCGUGGGGGAUAACGUAGGGAAACUUACGCUAAUACCGCAUACGACCUACGGGUGAAAGCAGGGGAUCUUCGGACCUUGCGCGAUUGAAUGAGCCGAUGUCGGAUUAGCUAGUUGGCGGGGUAAAGGCCCACCAAGGCGACGAUCCGUAGCUGGUCUGAGAGGAUGAUCAGCCACACUGGAACUGAGACACGGUCCAGACUCCUACGGGAGGCAGCAGUGGGGAAUAUUGGACAAUGGGCGCAAGCCUGAUCCAGCCAUACCGCGUGGGUGAAGAAGGCCUUCGGGUUGUAAAGCCCUUUUGUUGGGAAAGAAAAGCAGCAGGUUAAUACCCCGCUGUUCUGACGGUACCCAAAGAAUAAGUACCGGCUAACUUCGUGC